GUGGGGAAUAUUGGGCAAUGGGCGCAAGCCUGACCCAGCAACGCCGCGUGAAGGAAGAAGGCUUUCGGGUUGUAAACUUCUUUUACCAGGGACGAAACAAAUGACGGUACCUGGUGAAUAAGCCACGGCUAACUACGUGCCAGCAGCCGCGGUAAUACGUAGGUGGCGAGCGUUAUCCGGAUUUAUUGGGUGUAAAGGGCGUGUAGGCGGGACAGCAAGUCAGAUGUGAAAACCAGAGGCUCAACCUCUGGCCUGCAUUUGAAACUGUUGUUCUUGAGUGUCGGAGAGGUAAUCGGAGUUCCGUGUGUAGCGGUGAAAUGCGUAGAUAUACGGAGGAACACCAGUGGCGAAGGCGGAUUACUGGACGAUAACUGACGCUGAGGCGCGAAAGCGUGGGGAGCAAACAGGAUUAGAAACCCGGGUAGUCC
This 428-nucleotide ribosomal RNA is filed under the name uncultured bacterium. RNAcentral's name for it is "partial 16S ribosomal RNA". It matches the Rfam family "Bacterial small subunit ribosomal RNA", at positions 354 to 796 of the family's 1533-position model. The record is from RNAcentral.